AUGACACUUGCGUGGGAAGAACGGCAAUAUUUCCUCAGUUACUCAACCGCAGGAGCUGCCUCCUGGCAGCAGUGCUCAGGAGGCGCCUCGGGGGCGAGGGCUGGUGCCCGGCAGCAGCUGUGCCCCGGGAUAUCGCACCGCUCCUCACAGCUGUGUCCCGGGACAGCGCACCGGCCCGGCCCGCCCCUCGGCAGCUGUGCCCCGGGAUAUCGCACCGCUCCUCACAACUGUGCCCCGGGACAGCGCACCGCUCCUCACAGCGGUGCCCCGGGACAGCGCACCGGCCCGGCCCGCUCCUCACAGCUGUGCCCGGAGCCUGCUGCUGCCCAGGGCUCCCUGCCGAACGCCGCGGGGAGCGGGCUCAGACCGCCAGCCCUGCUCCCUCGGGACUCUCUGGCUGGUUCCUGCAGGCCUCCGGGGAGCUCAAAAGCAGCAAUCAAACAUCCAGGUGAUCUCACUGCCAACACCAAUAAUUCUGGCUGUCUGCUGCGGCUUGAUGGCAGCUGCUCGUACCCAGCACGCAUCCACGGGACAAGCCGCGCCAGCUGCCAAGUCCUUUCCGACCCGUUUGCUAACAGCGGCUCAGAUUCAAGAGACAUAAGCCAGCCGCAAGACAGACACACAAGAAUUCCAGGCUACCCGGUUAUCCUAGACGGCUUUGUCGGGGAAGCCCGGUGCGUGGCAGCUCCAUCAUUAGAGCAGCGGAGCGGAGGGUGCUACAGAGGAAACAAAGGAGCCAGUAACCUCAGUGACUCUGCUGUGGACAGAUGGGCAAGAAAUUAGCUAAAGGUAAGAGCAGAACUUGAAAAAUA
Molecule: long non-coding RNA, 812 nt
Filed under: Junco hyemalis (dark-eyed junco)
Lineage: Eukaryota; Metazoa; Chordata; Aves; Passeriformes; Passerellidae
Description: lncRNA (ENSJHYG00000009322.1)
Source: RNAcentral